GACGAACGCUGGCGGCGUGCUUAACACAUGCAAGUCGAACGGAAAGGCCCUGCUUUUGUUGGGCGCUCGAGUGGCGAACGGGUGAGUAACACGUGAGUAACCUGCCCCUGACUUUGGGAUAACUUCAGGAAACUGGGGCUAAUACCGGAUAGGAGCUCCUGCAGCAUGGUGGGGGUUGGAAAGAUUCGGCGGUUGGGGAUCGACUCGCGGCUUAUCAGCCUGUUGGGGGGGUAGUGGCUUACCAAGGCUUUGAAGGGUAGCCGGCCUGAGAGGGUGACCGGCCACAUUGGGACUGAGAUACGGCGCAGACUCCUACGGGAGGCAGCAGUGGGGAGUAUUACACAAUGGGCGGAAGCCUGAUGCAGCAACGCCGCGUGCGGGAUGACGGCCUUCGGGUUGUAAACCGCUUUCGCAUGUAACGAGGCGUGAGUGACGGUAAUGGGUAAAGAAGCACCGGCUAACUACGUG
Molecule: ribosomal RNA, 468 nt
Filed under: uncultured bacterium
Lineage: Bacteria
Description: partial 16S ribosomal RNA
Rfam family: Bacterial small subunit ribosomal RNA
Source: RNAcentral